UCUGUGACUCCUACGGGAGGCAGCAGUGGGGAAUAUUGCACAAUGGGCGCAAGCCUUGAUGCAGCCAUGCCGCGUGUGUGAAGAAGGCCUUCGGGUUGUAAAGCACUUUCAGUUGUGAGGAAGGUGGUGUCGUUAAUAGCGGCAUCAUUUCGACGUUAGCAACAGAAGAAGCACCGGCUAACUCCGUGCCAGCAGCCGCGGUAAUACGGAGGGUGCGAGCGUUAAUCGGAAUUACUGGGCGUAAAGCGCAUGCAGGUGGUUUGUUAAGUCAGAUGUGAAAGCCCGGGGCUCAACCUCGGAACUGCAUUUGAAACUGGCAGACUAGAGUACUGUAGAGGGGGUAGAAUUUCAGGUGUAGCGGUGAAAUGCGUAGAGAUCUGAAGGAAUACCGGUGGCGAAGGCGGCCCCCUGGACAGAUACUGACACUCAGAUUGCGAAAGCGUGGGGAGCAAACAGGAUUAGAUACCCUGGGAG
Molecule: ribosomal RNA, 474 nt
Filed under: uncultured bacterium
Lineage: Bacteria
Description: bacterial SSU rRNA
Rfam family: Bacterial small subunit ribosomal RNA
Source: RNAcentral